Molecule: long non-coding RNA, 2563 nt
Filed under: Ananas comosus (pineapple)
Lineage: Eukaryota; Viridiplantae; Streptophyta; Magnoliopsida; Poales; Bromeliaceae
Description: long non-coding RNA (ACOM_LNC034386)
Source: RNAcentral
CACUCAAUCCACUGAAAUCUUAGACGAAGAGCUCUUCCCUUUCGUCUUCCUCCGCUACUGCAGCCAACGAGGUAGAGUUCCGGCGGUUGCUAAAUGCUUAAAUAAGUGUUACUAAAUUAGCACCACUCUUUUUAGGUUAUAGCGAUACUCUUUAACUAUCACUAUAUACCUAGCGACCCCAUAUAUAGCAACACUUUUUAAAAGUGUCGGUAAUUUAGCCGGCAGCACUUUUAAUUUUUUGACCUGUACCGACAUUUAAAAGUGUCGCUAUAGACCGUAUUUGUUAUAGUGUAUAUAGGUUGGCCAAAUCCUAUUCCUAAUUCAAGUCAAAGUUUGACUUGAAUUAGGAGUAGUGCGUAGGAAACCGGCAGAGUCAAUUCACUUCCAGCUAGAAUUUGGAAUCCACUAAUAGGAAUUUUCAUGAUAUCAUGUCUAUUAUUUCAUAGACCAGGUGUAUAGACCAAACAAACAAAAAAGAAAGCAUAAUCUCUAACAUUUUCCAUCUUGACUUUUUUUUUACUUAAUUACUCUCUCUCAUCUUAUUACCCCCUAUUCUUGAGGUAUCUCAUGUAACACACUAGACCAUUGCAAAUUGUGAGGUUCGAGUGUUUGAUUUGUGUUCUGAGCUUUUCUAUCUUUUCUAGAGGGUCGUAGACAGUGUUCCGACCUAUGGCUCGCAUCCCGAGAAUUGAGGUUUAAAACUUAGCGUCGAAAUCUCUAAUGUGAAGAUAGUUGGCUACUCUCGGAUUACAUUUUGCAGAGAAGUGUACCGGUACAACAUUGAUAUUGUACCAUGUUGUACCGGAACAGGUGGUUGUACCGGUACAACAUUGAUGUUGUACCGGUACAAAUGAAAAUGUUCUGCCAACCCGAGGCUCGGGUUUGUGCGUUCGGGGGUGUUGUACCGGUACACUUUUUCGUGUACCGGUACACUUUGCCAGACUGCAGUCUACUUGUUCUUGAGGGGUGUUUCUGCAAUUAUUGCUUCUCUAUUUAGUCCCCACGCCUCUCUAGGUUUCUCUGAGCUGAGAAACAUAGGAGACAAGUUAGGAGAGCCUCUCUCUCCCCCUCUUUGGAUUUUAUCUCCUUUUUGCUUGGAUUUUGGUGGAUUAACCCUCUCUUUUUGCUUCUUGGUGCAACUUCCACCUUUGGAGAAGCUAAGGAGCUUGGUUUGAGGCUUGUGGAGGAGAGAUCUUCAACCAUUGUUGGGGUUGAGCAUUGAUUGAAGCUUUUAAGAGGUUGGUAUCAUCUUUUUUCCUCUAGAUUCAAGUUUUGAUGGAUUAUAUUAGAUGGAACCCUAUAAAUGUAUUGGGGAUUUUGGAUUUAGGACUUUUGGAGCUCAAUUGCUUGGAUUAGAAUCUUCCUCUAGGUGGGAUUGGAGGGUCCUAACUCCCAUUUAGAGAUCGAGAGAGACUAUCACCAUCAUAGAUGAGUUUUGCCCCUUUUUUUUUUUGAAUUGGUUAAUGAUCGACCUUAGAGAUGCUCAUAAUGUUCGUUUAAUUCUCCUUUUAUUACCUUUAGGGUGUUAGGAGAAUAGUGGACAACCUCUUUCGACGAAACGAAGGGUUUCGAGGAGACUUGGUAGGUUUGGCCUCAGCAAAAUAAGAUAAAAUUCUCAUAUGAUGAUCAUAUUUGUCGUAAAAUAGAAUUUCAUGCAAAUUCAUGCUAGAUGGAAUAUUUGUGAAUUUUAGAAUACUUAAUAUGCAUAUGUUAUGUAUAAUGCACAUUUGGACCUCUAUGUAGUAGAGAGCUAUUCAUGUUGGAAUCAUGCAUAUGGUUAGCAUUCUUAUACUUGGAUUGGGAUCAUGUUUAAUUUAGUGAAAAUGAUAAGUACAUUGUACACUUGGACUUAGAACUCGUGCUUGGCAUAGGAGUGAGCUAAUGUCAUAAAUUGGCAUUGGGCUUGGCAUAUGUAUGGACUUAGUGAGCUAAUAUCAGAAAGGGGCAUUGAGAUUGGAAUGUGCUGGGGACAUAGUAAAAUCUAGUAUCAUAAAGAGGCAUUAGUGUUGGAACAAGAUUUGGACAUAAUGAGAUAUAAUGUCAUAAAAGGGUAGCGGACAUAAUGAACGGUUAAACCUUCACUUUGAGACAUAAAACUAGACCGUUGGGUUGCUAGUGACUAUUAUCAUGUUGGAUAUAAUGCCAUAAAGGGGCAGCAGACAUAAUGAACGGUUAAACCUUCACUUUGAGCCCCUUCGUUCACUAGGCAAAUGAUAUCGUAAAAUCAUAAAAUUUAUUUUCUAAGUACUUCAAAUACUCUAGAUCAAGUUUAACGGAGCCGAUCGACGAUUCGUAAGUCGCAACAUCGAAAACGAGCUGGAAGCACGGAAGGCUCCGUACUUCCGAUAGCAUAGUAGCCUCACUCUAUAUAUAUAUAUAUAUAUAUAGUAGGUCUUGUGUGCUAUUAGGAGCACAGAGGCCUCCGUGCUCCUAAGCCGUUUUCGAUGAUGGAGCUUCCAAAUCGACGAUCGGCUCCGUUAGACUUGAUCUAGCAUAUUUGAACUAUCUAGAAAAUAAUUUUUGUGAUUUUUCGGUAUCAUUUUUCUACGAUCUAAAGGGUUCA